Long non-coding RNA from Aricia agestis (brown argus), 355 nucleotides. RefSeq lists it as uncharacterized. The record is from RefSeq and is a predicted model, not a curated record. The transcript is spliced from 2 exons. Lineage: Eukaryota; Metazoa; Arthropoda; Insecta; Lepidoptera; Lycaenidae.
AAAAAAUUGUAUAGAAUUUUCUUCACCAAUACGAAGGAUUGCGCGUGUUAUUUCAAUAAAUCGAUUUAACUUGAAAAAGUGUAACCAAUUUUAAAAUUACUCAGUUAUAAAAACAAAGGUGUGUGUUGAACAAAAAAAAUCAUUAAUUUUUACAAAGAAGUCAGCAGAUCAUAAUGCGUUUCUUCAGGCAGUGUGUAUCGUUGUGCCUGGUGCUCCUGGGGCUGGUCUCCCUGGCCCAUGGCUCCCUGCAAACCCCCCCGCCGGGCCUCCUCUUCCCCCGGGGGUGCCCCAACCCCCCCUGCAGAGCACCCGAUGAUCGGUGAUUGACAUAUUAUGAAUAAACUUUAAGAAACAA